AAAAGCAUGAAGGACAUGCACAAAGUGUGACUAUAUGAUGUGGCAAUGGGGUGUAGUAAGCAAAUGCUCACCUCCCCCUCUAAAAUUUAAUUGGAUUGGGCUUCUACCAAUUCAAUUAAAUUUAUUUCCAACCACACACAUCAAAUAUCCACUUAGUGCAUGUGAAAUUACAAAACUACCCCUAAUACAAAAACUAGUCUAGGUGCCCAAAAAUACAAGGGCUGAAAAAUCCUAUAUUUCUAGGGUACCCUACCUACAAUAUGGAGCCCUAAAUACAAGGACCAUAUAUAAUGACAUCCUAGUCUAAUAUGUACAAAGAUAAUUGGAACCAACCUUGGCCCAUGGGCUCAGAAAUCUACCCUAAGGUUCAUGAGAACCCUAGGGCCUUCUUCAGCAGCUCUAGCCCAAUCUUCUUGGAGCCUCUUGCUCAUGGUUCUAGUGAUUGGUCCCUUCCUAGGGAGGAUUGCAUCAAGUCCCUCAUAUAUCGAGACGCUUAAAAUUGAAAACCAAAGCUCUGAGCAAAUUCAAAUGACAAUAACUUUUGACUCGGAUGUCCGAUUGAGUCAUUUAAUAAUUCGAGACGCUCGAAAUUGAAUACAAAAGCUCUCACUAAAUUUAAAUGAAAAUAACUUUUUACUCGGAUUUCCGAUUGAGUCCUGUAAUAUAUCUAGACGCUCAAAAUUGAAAACAAAAGCUCUGAGCAUAUUCAAACGAAAGAAACUUUUGACUCGGAUUUCCGAUUGAGUCAUUAAAUAAGUCAAGACGCUCGAAAUUGAAUACAGAAGCUCUCACCAAAUUUAAAUGACUAUAACUUUUUACUCGGAUGUCCGAUUGAGUCCCGUAAUAUAUUAAGACGCCCGAAAUUGCAAACAGAGGCUCUGAGCAAAUUCAAACGAUAAUAACUUUUGACUCUGACGUGCGAUUAACUCCCUUAAUAAAUCGAGAAGCUCGAAAUUGAAAAUAGAAGCUCCUAGCAAAUUCAAACGACAAUAACUUUUUACUGGGAUGUCCGAUUGAGUUCCGUCCUAUAUCGAGACGCUUAAAAUUGAAAACCAAAGCUCUGAGAAAAUUUAAAUGACAAUAACUUUUGACUCGGAUGUCUGAUUGAGUCAUUUAAUAAUUCGAGACGCUCGAAAUUGAAUACAGAAGCUCUCACAAAAUUCAAAUGACAAUAACUUUUUCCUGAGAUGUCCGAUUGAGUCCCAUAAUAUAUCGAGACACUCAAAAUUGAAUACAGAAGCUAUGAGCAAAUUCAAACGACAAUAAGUUUUGACUCGGAUUUUCGAUUGAGUCCUGUAAUAUAUCAAGAUGGUCGAAAUUGAAAAUGGAAGUUCGUAAAAAAUGCAAACAAUAAUAACUAUCAACUCGGAUGUCCAAUUGAGUCCCUUAAUAUAUCGAGACGCUGGUAAUGGAAAAUGCAAAUCAUAGAAAAUGCAAAUCGCAAUAACUUUUAACUCGGAUGAUCGAUUGAGUCCCGUAAUAUAUCGAGACGCUCAAAAUUUAAAACAGAAGCUCUGAGCAAAUUAAAACGACAAUAACUUUUGACUCGGAUGUCCGAUAGAGUCAUUUAACAAUUUGAUUCGCUCAAAAUUGAAUAUAGAAGCUGUCAGCAAAUUCAAAUGACAUUAAAUUUUGACCCGGAUGUCCAAUUGAGUCCCUUAAUAAUUCAAGAUGCUCGAAAUUGAAAACAGAAGCUCUGAGCAAAUUGAAACAACAAUAAAUUUUGACUCGGAUGUCUAAUUUACUCCCUUAAUAAUUCAAGACGCUCGAAAUUGAAUAUAGAAGCUCUCAGCAAAUUCAAAUGAUAAUAACUUUUUACAGGAAAGUCCGAUUCAGUCUUGUAGAAUAUCGAGACGCACGAAAUUGAGAACAGUAACUCUAAGCAAAUUCCAACGACAAUAACUUUUUUCUCGGAUGUCCGAUUGAGUCCCUUCAUAUAUUAAGACGCUCGAAAUUGAUAACAGAAGCUCUGAGCAAAUUCAAUUGACAACAACUUUUUCCUCAGAUGUCCGAUUGAGUCCCGUAAUAUAUCGAGCUGCUCGUAAUUGAAUACAGAAGCUGUGAGCAAAUUCAAACGACAAUGAGUUUUGACACGGAUUUUCGAUUAAGUCCUGUAAUAUAUCAAGAUGGUCGAUAUUGAAAAUGGAAGCUCGUAAAAAAUGCAAACAAUAAUAACUAUCAACUCGGAUGUCCAAUUGAGUCUCGUAAUAUAUCGAGACACUGGUAAUGGAAAACGGAAGAUCGUAGAAAAUGCAAAUCGCAAUAACUUUUAACUCGGAUGACCGAUUGAGUCCCAUAAUAAAUCGAGACGCUCGAAAUUGAAAAUAGAAGCUCUGAGCAAAUUCAAACGACCAUAACUUUUGACUCGGAUGUCUGAUUGAGUCAUUUAAUAACUCGAGACACUCAAAAUUUAAUACAGAAGCUGUUAGCUAAUUCAACCGACAAAAACUUUUGACUCGGAUGUCCAAUUGAGUCCCUUAAUAAUUCAAGAUGCUCGAAAUUGAAAACAAAAGCUCUGAGCAAAUUCAAACGAUAAUAAGUUUUUACUGGAAAGUCCGAUUCAGUCAUGUAGUAUAUCGAGACGCACAAAAUUGAAAACAGAAACAUUGAGCAAAUUCAAACGAAAAUAACUUUUUACUCGAACAUCCGAUUGAUUCCCAUAAUAUAUCGAGACGCUCAAAAUAGAAAACAGAAGCUCUAAGCAAAUUCAAAUGACAAUAACUUUUGAGUCGGAUGUCCGAUAGAGUCAUUUUAUAACUCGAGACGCUCAAAAUUGAAUACAGAAGCUCUGAGCAUAUUCAAAUUAGAAUAACUUUUGACUCAGAUGUCUAAUUCAGGCAUAUAAUAAUUCAAGACGCUUGAUAUUGAAUACAAAAGCUCUGAGCAAAUUCAAGCGACAAUAACAUUUUACUCGGAAAUCCGAUUAAGUCUUAUAGUAUAUCGAGAUACAUGAAAUUGAAAACUGAAACUCUGAGCAAAUACAAACGACAAUAACUUUGAACUCGGAUGUCCGAUUGAGUCCCAUCAUAUAUCAAGACGCUCGAAAUUGAAAACAGAAGCUCCAAGCAAAUUCAAAUGACAAUAACUUUUUCCUCAGAUGUUCGAUAGAGUCCCUUAAUAUAUUGAGAUGCCAGAAAUUGAAUACAGAAGCUUUGAGUAAAUUCAAACGACAAUUAGUUUUGACUCGGAUGGUCGAUUGAGUCCCGUAAUAUAUCGAGAUGCUUGAAAAUGAAAAUGGAAGCUUCUAAAAAAUGCAAACAAUAAUAAUUGUCAACUCGGAUGUCCGAUUCAGAAUAGCAAUAUAUCGAGACGCUGGUAAUGGAAAAUGGAAGCUCGUAUAAAAUGCAAAUCGCAAUAACUUUUAACUCGGAUGAUCGAUUGAGUCCCGUAAUAUAUCGAGACGCUCGAAAUUGAAAACAAAAGCUCUGAGCAAAUUCAAACGACAAUAACUUUUGACUCGGAUAUCCGAUUGAGUCAAUUAAUAAUUCGAGACGCUCAAAAUUGAAUACAGAAGCUCUAAGCAAAUUCAAAUGACAAUAACUUUUGACUCGGAUGUCUGAUAGAGUCAUUUUAUAUUUCGAGACGCUCAAAAUUGAAUAUAGGAGCUCUCACCAAAUUUAAAUGACAAUAACUUUUUACUCGAAUGUCCGAUUGAGUCCCGUAAUAUAUCUAGAUGCUCAAAAUUGAAAACAGAAGCUCUGUGCAAAUUCAAGCAAAAGUAACUUUUGACUCAAAUGUCCGAUUGAGUCAUUUAAAAAUUCAAGACACUCGGAAUUGAAUAUAGAAGCUCUCACAAAAUUCAAAUGACAAUAACUUUUUACUCGGAUGUCUAAUUGAGUCCAGUAAUAUAUCGAGACGCUCAAAAUUGAAAACAGAAGCUCUAAGCAAAUUCAAAUGACAAUAACUUUUGACUUGGAUGUCCGAUUGAACCAUUUAAUAAUUCGAGACGCUCGAAAUUGAAUACAGAAGCUCUCAGCAAAUUGAAACAACAAUAAAUUUUGACUCGGAUGUCUAAUUUACUCCCUUAAUAAUUCAAGAGGCUCGAAAUUGAAUAUAGAAGCUCUCAACAAAUUCAAAUGAUAAUAACUUUUUACAGGAAAGUCCGAUUCAGUCUUGUAGAAUAUCGAGACGCACGAAAUUGAGAACAGUAACUCUAAGCAAAUUCCAACGACAAUAACUUUUUUCUCGGAUGUCCGAUUGAGUCCCUUCAUAUAUUAAGACGCUCGAAAUUGAUAACAGAAGCUCUGAGCAAAUUCAAUUGACAACAACUUUUUCCUCAGAUGUCCGAUUGAGUCCCGUAAUAUAUCGAGCUGCUCGUAAUUGAAUUCAGAAGCUGUGAGCAAAUUCAAACGACAAUGAGUUUUGACUCGGAUUUUCGAUUGAGUACCGUAAUAAAUCGAGAUGCUCGAUAUUGAAAAUGGAAGCUCGUAAAAAAUGCAAACAAUAAUAACUGUCAACUCGAAUGUCCGAUUGAGUCCCGUAAUAUAUCGAGACGCUGGUAAUGGAAAACGGAAGAUCGUAGAAAAUGCAAAUCGCAAUAACUUUUAACUCGAAUGACCAAUUGAGUCCCAUAAUAAAUUGAGACGCUCGAAAUUGAAAAUAGAAGCUCUGAGCAAAUUCAAACGACCAUAACUUUUGACUCGGAUGUCUGAUUGAGUCAUUUAAUAACUCGAGACACUCGAAAUUGAAUACAGAAGCUGUCAGCAAAUUCAACCGACAAUAACUUUUGACUGGAUGUCCAAUUGAGUCCCUUAAUAAUUCAAGAUGCUCGAAAUUGAAAACAAAAGCUCUGAGCAAAUUCAAACGAUAAUAAGUUUUUACUGGAAAGUCCUAUUCAGUCCUGUAGUAUAUCGAGACGCACAAAAUUGAAAACAGAAACAUUGAGCAAAUUCAAACGAUAAUAACUUUUUACUCGAACAUCCGAUUGAUUCCCAUAAUAUAUCGAAACGCUCAAAAUAGAAAACAGAAGCUCUAAGCAAAUUCAAAUGACAAUAACUUUUGAGUCGGAUGUCCUAUUGAGUCAUUUAAUAAUUCUUGACGCUCAAAAUUGAAUACAGAAGCUCUGAGCAUAUUCAAAUUGGAAUAACUUUUGACUCGGAUGUCCGAUUCAGUCAUAUAAUAAUUCGAGACGCUUGAUAUUGAAUACAGAAACUCUGAGCAAAUUCAAACGACAAUAACCUUUACUCGGAAGUCCGAUUAAGUCUUAUAGUAUAUCGAGAUACAUGAAAUUGAAAACAGAAACUCUGAGCAAAUUCAAACGACCAUAACUUUAAACUCGGAUGUCCGAUUGAGUCCCAUCAUAUAUCAAGACGCUCGAAAUUGAAAACAGAAGCUCCAAGCAAAUUCAAAUGACAAUAACUUUGAUGCAAGCUCCAUUGGAGCUUGUAGGCCUAGGAUCUUCUUCAUCAAUGGAUUCCUUUGCUUCUUGGAAGAUGAAUGGCAGCGGAAUGAAGAAAGGAAGAGAGAGAGGAGACGCCACUUCAAGGAGAAGAUGAGUCUAGAAGAAGCUCACCACCAUAGGAGGCCAUGGAUAAGAGCUUGGAGGAAGAAGGAGAUGAAUGAAGGGAGAGGGAGAGAAGAGCACGAAAUUUUGUGCUCCAAAUGAGCUUUGAAAUCUGAAGUUUAAUAUUCAAAUGUUCAAAGUUGAAAAAAUGCACACACAUGACCUCUAUUUAUAGCCUAAGUGUCACACAAAAUUGGAGGGAAAUUCAAAUUUCACUUGAAUUUGAAAUUGAAUUUGUGGAGCCAAACUUUGGAGCCAAAAUUUCACUAAUUAUGAUUAGUGAAUUUUAGUUAUGGUUCAGCCCACUAAUCCAAGAUCAAUUCCAAGAUUCUCCACUAAGUGUGCUUAGGUGUCAUGAGGCAUGAAAAGCAUGAAGGACAUGCACAAAGUGUGACUAUAUGAUGUGGCAAUGGGGUGUAGUAAGCAAAUUCUCACCUCCCCCUCUAAAAUUUAAUUGGAUUGGGCUUCUACCAAUUCAGUUAAAUUUAUUUCCAACCACACACAUCAAAUAUCCACUUAGUGCAUGUGAAAUUACAAAACUACCCCUAAUACAAAAACUAGUCUAGGUGCCCUAAAAUACAAGGGCUGAAAAAUC
Molecule: long non-coding RNA, 6098 nt
Filed under: Glycine max (soybean)
Lineage: Eukaryota; Viridiplantae; Streptophyta; Magnoliopsida; Fabales; Fabaceae
Description: long non-coding RNA (GMAX_LNC004706)
Source: RNAcentral